RNAcentral lists this long non-coding RNA (207 nucleotides) under Mytilus galloprovincialis (Mediterranean mussel). Lineage: Eukaryota; Metazoa; Mollusca; Bivalvia; Mytilida; Mytilidae. The record is from RNAcentral.
CACCCUCUGCACAUUUAUGACUCUUCCAACUGUGCCCUGCUGCAAGGAAACAUGUAUGACCCUAUUUAACAUGGCCUCAAUUUCAAUCAAACUUUUCGACCUAUAUUCUGGACCUCCUCUAUUAUAGAACUUUACUAUUGUAUAUAUUCUUAACAUGUUCUUGUCCUAAACAUACAUAAAAUGUUUACCACAGAAAGUAAAGCAACC